Physella acuta is the source of this 674-nucleotide long non-coding RNA. RefSeq lists it as uncharacterized. The record is from RefSeq and is a predicted model, not a curated record. Lineage: Eukaryota; Metazoa; Mollusca; Gastropoda; Physidae.
UUUGGGGCUGGCCUCCAACGCUCUACCAUUCGACCACGUCGUCCCACACAAACUCACAAUAGGAUGCAUUGAAACAUAAUAUUUAGUUUAAAUAUUCUAACCAAAUGCUAAAGCCACCAAAUUGACAUAUGCUUGUUUUCUACAGAUAAAACACUUGUUUUCUGGCCAAAUUAUGUUGCAACUGAAUUUGACCAAUGUUGGAGUUUCUUCCCAGACUUUAAGUAAAACAACUUAAAUAACCGACGAUUAAAUUAUAAUCAAACUAAUGAAGUUAAUUAACCUUCAACUUCAAAGAAUAACUGAAAACAUACAGGACACCGUGACGCUAAGGACACCGUGUACGAGUGGGCACAUUUUGAUGCCCAGGACCUCCUGAAGAUGACCCGGAGACCGCCCAGUUUUGACGCCACGAACGUUCAGCCCUACCGUCUGGACGGUGUCAUGGUCAGGUGGUCCAAGCCAAAGAAGCGAGACUGGAGGUGGAACUAUAUACCAGGAAAAAACGAAACAAAACUUGUUCUUCCUGAAAUCCAUGACUAUCAACAUUAAAGAUAUAGAUACAAGAUGGGCUUUUUUAGAUUUUAGAUAUUUGAACGCUUUAAUUUUUAAAACAUCAAAAUGUUAUUUUUAAGGGCGAAAUUCAUCCCCGAUGUCUUAGUCAAUGGUCUAGCUAA